AAAGCUGGAUCCUCCUCUCUAACUACAGGAAACUCAAAGGGGGGAGAGGCAGGAGGGUCUUGGGAGGGGGACCUAGGAGCCUCAGACUGUCUACUGGAUUGACCUCUAAAAUAUGGAUGUCUACGUGCUGUGGAUUUUCUACCCAUUUUUAGACAGACAAACAACAGCUAAAGAGGCAAUGAUCAAAACAGAAAAGCUAACCAUAAGCAACACAAUACCACAGACUCAACCCAUAAUCAACAAAACUCAUCAAUAAAAUAAC
RNAcentral lists this long non-coding RNA (262 nucleotides) under Manihot esculenta (cassava). Its description in RNAcentral is "long non-coding RNA (MESC_LNC011448)". Lineage: Eukaryota; Viridiplantae; Streptophyta; Magnoliopsida; Malpighiales; Euphorbiaceae. The record is from RNAcentral.